GAUGAACGCUGGCGGCGUGCCUAAUACAUGCAAGUCGAGCGAACAGACGAGGAGCUUGCUCCUCUGACGUUAGCCGCGGACGGGUGAGUAACACGUGGAUAACCUACCUAUAAGACUGGGAUAACUUCGGGAAACCGGCGCUAAUACCGGAUAAUAUAUUGAACCGCAUGGUUCAAUAGUGAAAGACGGUUUUGCUGUCACUUAUAGAUGGAUCCGCGCCGCAUUAGCUAGUUGGUAAGGUAACGGCUUACCAAGGCAACGAUGCGUAGCCGACCUGAGAGGGGGAUCGGCCACCCUGGAGCGGGGACACGGACCAGACUCCUACGGGAGGCAGCAGUAGGGAAUCUGCCGCAAUGGGCGAAAGCCUGACGGAGCAACGCCGCGUGAGUGAUGAAGGUCUUCGGAUCGUAAAACUCUGUUAUUAGGGAAGAACAAAUGUGUAAGUAACUAUGCACGUCUUGACGGUACCUAAUCAGAAAGCCACGGCUAACUACGUG
This 497-nucleotide ribosomal RNA is filed under the name uncultured bacterium. Its description in RNAcentral is "partial 16S ribosomal RNA". It matches the Rfam family "Bacterial small subunit ribosomal RNA", at positions 28 to 507 of the family's 1533-position model. The record is from RNAcentral.